This 114-nucleotide ribosomal RNA is filed under the name uncultured bacterium. RNAcentral's name for it is "partial 16S ribosomal RNA". It matches the Rfam family "Bacterial small subunit ribosomal RNA", at positions 1360 to 1482 of the family's 1533-position model. The record is from RNAcentral.
CGGUGAGUACGUUCCCGGGCCUUGUACACACCGCCCGUCAAGCCAUGGAAGCUGGGGGUACCUGAAGUACGUAACCGCAAGGAGCGUCCUAGGGUAAAACUGGUAACUGGGGCU